CGCUUGCCCUACUGGAUUGUUUCUUCAUUCUUUUGUUUUUUUUUGGAAUUAAAACCAAACUUAAAAAUACCUACUGUAACGUAUUUUGAAAUGCCACCUGGAUAUGAAGUUGUUAUAAGGCAACACUUUAUCCAUAAGCGCAUUCGUUUCUCGCUACUAUUUGUGUGCUACAUUUUUACUCAAAUACUGGAAUUAACUCGCUAGCAUUUGUAAUUGCCGAGGGUUCAAGCUGAUAAAGAUUAGAUAGAAUCGUCCAUUUUGUCAUCUAACCCUUAAGAGGAAGAAUAUAGUUCAUCCAAAAAUUUCUAAAAAUAACCUUGUUCACCUUCAGAAAGUCAUUAAAUCAGUUCAAGUUGCGGUUAUAAUUUUGGUUGUGUGACUUGGCCACAUAAUUUUAUGCAUUUGGAUGAUAGCCUUUGAAUCUCUUUAACAAUUACCCUAUGGAAUAAAAUCCAUAGUCAAAGAGGAAGACUCGCAUUUGAUUACAACAAUUGUUUUGUGAAGGAAGAGAUCUUAUUGAACAAAAGCUUUUGUUCUCACAAAACACAUUUUUCGGCCUCACAUAUUCCCAAACCGCAACGCAGCGUCAGUGUGAUUUUUAACUUUUACUCCAACAGCGUCGAUUACAUCAAGACGGGCAAAUGCCCUGUGUCAAUCAAUAACCAGAAAUAUGGGAGAAAUGUGAAAUUUGAUGUAUUAUUACAAACUGCUUUGUUUUCAAGAUAUGAAGAAAAAACCAAUUUCGGCACGAAUCGGGAUAUAUUCAACCAGAUCAGCUAGA
This is a long non-coding RNA of Musca domestica (house fly), 781 nucleotides long. RefSeq lists it as uncharacterized. The record is from RefSeq and is a predicted model, not a curated record. NCBI's taxonomy places the organism in Eukaryota, Metazoa, Arthropoda, Insecta, Diptera, Muscidae. The transcript has 3 exons.